GUUGAUAGAUCAUUCAUGGAUCUUAGCCCAUCGAUUCUGUGUUGGAACAUGAGAGGGUUAAAUAACCCAGCAAAGAGAGAUGCGUUGAGGGCCUUUGUUGCGACAAUGCGAGUUAAUGUAGCUUGCCUCCAAGAGACUAAAAUGGAUGUCAUUGAUUGUUACACCGUGUUGCAAUGCCUUGGGCCGUCCUUCAACGGUUUUGCUUUCUUGCCAGCCACGGAGACCAGAGGAGGAAUUCUCAUUGCUUGGGAUUCGACCAACAUUGAUAUCGAUCAAAUUCACUUGAAUACUGAUUUCAUCUCAGGACAAGUUCACACCAAACAGGGGCGAUAUGGUGGAUCUCGGUGGUUUAUGGCCCGCAAGGCAAUACCCUGA
Molecule: ribosomal RNA, 375 nt
Filed under: Triticum aestivum (bread wheat)
Lineage: Eukaryota; Viridiplantae; Streptophyta; Magnoliopsida; Poales; Poaceae
Description: partial small subunit ribosomal RNA
Source: RNAcentral